This is a long non-coding RNA of Manis pentadactyla (Chinese pangolin), 493 nucleotides long. RefSeq lists it as uncharacterized. Lineage: Eukaryota; Metazoa; Chordata; Mammalia; Pholidota; Manidae. The record is from RefSeq and is a predicted model, not a curated record. The transcript has 4 exons.
UGCUGAGAGGUCAGGAUGAUUGACCACUGCAUUUAGCAGCAUAGAAGUCACUGGCAAUAUUGAGGAGCAAUUCCAGUAGCAUGAGAGAGACAAAACCCUCAUUGGAAUAGAUUCAACAGAGAAUGAGAGGAGACAAAUUGGAGCCUGAAUGAGCAAGUGAAUGGUUUUAUAUAAUGAUGGGAGUCAAGUUUCCCACUGCUGAAGAAAAGAGCUACAAAACAGAAAGUGCAACAACCUAAGAGUACUACACAAGUCUGCAGAAGCUCUCUGAGUGAGCCAGGCACAUGGUGGUGACGCACCACACAAGCUCUGCAGUACCGCCCUCCCAACCCCACCCCAUCCUGUGUGCACCAUCCUCAGGUUAUGAAUAAGGCAGUGUUCUUGGCAAAUAUUUUGGAAUCCAUUCGGAAAGAGGGAAUGAUGAAAACUCCAGAAGAUAAGCUUUUCUUGCUUCAAUAUCUCUCCUGCUUUAAAUUGUUUGUUCAAUAAAAAA